Myodes glareolus (Bank vole) is the source of this 1167-nucleotide long non-coding RNA. RefSeq lists it as uncharacterized. NCBI's taxonomy places the organism in Eukaryota, Metazoa, Chordata, Mammalia, Rodentia, Cricetidae. The record is from RefSeq and is a predicted model, not a curated record.
CAGAAGCAGCUUGCAUCCUCACCUCCUGACCUGGAGCCUGUGCACAGGCAAUAAUGAAAAGACCAAGUCAGCAGCGGCACUGACUGUAAACUGAAGCCAUGUCCAGGUGUGAGGAGCAGAGGCAGAAACCACCGAGGAAAGCUGCUUACGAGUUUGUUCCCUGUGACUUGCUCAGCUUGAGGUCAGAGAAGAGAGCAACUCUGGGAAGAUGACCUUUUGGGAACAACACGGAUGCUGCUCACGUGAAGAAAAUACAGAGCUCGUGGCCAGCAGACAACAGCUAAAGAAGAUUCUCAACUAGGAAAAGGUUGUAUUUCAGAACUUCUUCAGGCUAUACAACAGUGACUAUCGUUCUGUCAACUUUGCUCUAUUGCCCACGAUUCUCCUCUGACCGUGAUGAAGACUGGGAAGGAGGCAGUGGGAUAUGGGGAAGAUGUGCCAAGAGAUGUUGCCUGGAAGAUGCCGAGAGGAAUGUCACUCACCUGUAGGAUGGUUAGUCCUGAUUGUCAAGGUGAUUGGAUUUGGAAGAGAUUGGUGAGUUAUACCUCCGCGGUGGCUGAGAGAUUUCCACAGAGGAGUAACUGAAAGGGAAAAGCCUCUGUCAUGAUGGACUGCGACAGCCCAUGGGCGGAAAUCUGACAAAGUAAAAGGGGCAUAUGCGCAUGGGGGUGGGCGUCAAGAGGAUCGGACCGACUUCGACCAUGUUUCAACCACCACAAACUCUGCCAUGCCUUUCUGGCCAUUAUGGACUAAAGUCAUCUAGACCGUGAGACAAAGCAAAGUUUCCCUCUGAUGAGUUAUUCCUAUGGGGUAUUUUGUGUCAUAUACACAAAAAUGACAAACACACCCUGCCAACAAUAUAUCUUAAAGCUUGGCCUUAGUCCCAGUAUGCCACUUACCAGCUGGGGAACUUUUGAGCUACACAGGACCUCAGUUUCUCCAUCCGUAAAAAUAGUUAUAGUAAUUUUGGCCUUGUAAAGAAUUAGAGAUUAAUCUAUGUAAUGGAUAUUAUCAUUAGUAAUAAUAUUUACUGAUUAUAUGUGCCAUAUAUUUUCAUGCACAUAACAAACCAGCCGAAAACAUAAAUACGAAGCCAUACUUGUAUUUUUCUAAUUAGUUUUCCGUAGCAGAAAAUUAAUAAAGAGAAUGAAAUCAGCAUUUUUCCUA